Molecule: long non-coding RNA, 751 nt
Filed under: Helianthus annuus (common sunflower)
Lineage: Eukaryota; Viridiplantae; Streptophyta; Magnoliopsida; Asterales; Asteraceae
Source: RNAcentral
AUGUCAGAUUGUCUGUCAUGUACAACUGGUAUGUUUUGACUUAAUGGUAAAAAAAAGUUAAAGAAUGGUGUGUUAUUGGGUGUUGAGAUUGUUGGAUUUGGUUCGGUUGUUAGAUAUCGAUUGGGUCCUUAAUGGCGUUUUUUGUUACUUUUUAGUGAUUUUGGUGGUUUGAUGCUAAUUCUAAUUAUUUAGUUCUAAGACGUAAAGCUUUUUGAAACAAGAAUCUAUGUGUGGCAUAGUAACUUUUCAUAUUUAAAUGAAGAGAGAGAACAGAGUAAAUAGGAUAGAGAGAAGGUUGUGGCUAACUUAGCAACGUCAAUACAGAGGGUUAAUACAAACGCUUAGGAGGAAUUGAAACAACUUCCAGGCUCUUCUCUCAGAAAAAGUGUUAUAUGCAAAUCAUGUUUGUACAAGGUAGCUCUUAAAUUUGAGGCAAAGGCUGCAGUUAUGGUCUUCCAUAGUCCAUAUGAAUGGCAAUUUUACAGUAUUUUUUGUUUUUUUAUCUCUCACGGUCAUGUUAAAUGUAGUUUUCAUUUGAAAUUAGAAGUAAGUCAGUAACAUUGAUGUUCCUUUUUGGUGAAACAACACACUAGGUGGCAGUCAUGUGGUGCCUAACGUACACUAAUAAGGAAAACAAGGAAAAUACUAUGUAAUGGUCGUGGACACGCUUGGACCUAGCUUAUGGGACGUAUGGAAUUCUUUUGGGCAAUUGUGAGUCCUUAAGGUAGAACCGUUAAAAUCUCUCUCUCUC